This 221-nucleotide long non-coding RNA is filed under the name Elaeis guineensis (African oil palm). RNAcentral's name for it is "long non-coding RNA (EGUI_LNC043039)". The record is from RNAcentral. Lineage: Eukaryota; Viridiplantae; Streptophyta; Magnoliopsida; Arecales; Arecaceae.
GCUUAUCCAAUAAACUAAUUGGACUUGAUCCAAUCAAGUCUAAACUAAAUCUAAUUAAAUUAUAUUUAAUUAGACUUAAUCUCAACCCAUUGGCUUAAUUAAAUUAAGCCAAUUAGCAAUCAAAUUGCUAAUCGAUCCUCCUGUAACACUUGUAUUGGGUUAAAUAUCAAUCGUAUUGAUCAUUUAACCCUAGAAUGAUUCUUAAUCGUUGAUCAACCAUC